CGGCACAUGGACAUUACAGGAACUACAGUUCAAGAUGAGAUUUAGGUGGGGACACAGCCAAACCAUAUCAGAAACAAUCCUAGCUGAAUCUUAGGAGGCAUACAGCAAACGCGGGGGAGCAGAACGCAUGAGCACAGGCACUGAUGCUGAGCUUUCAGCUUGCCGGACCCUCAAUCGAAAAUGUUCUACAGCUGGAAGGGAGUGUGGGUGGAUCCUCUGAGUCAGUUAAAUGGAGGUCAGCUGGAGAUGCCACUGCCAGGCAGAAGCUGCUAAUUCUCACCACAGAUAAUACUAUGAGUCAUGAAUGUGAUGACAUCAUGAAUCCUCCCGGACAGUGGCAAUCAUCAGCCCCCCAAGUGUGAGUGCCAGUGCCUUUCUUGGAGCUGAAAGCCUUUCAUGGUGGGCGUUUCAUGAAGACCACCCCACGGGUCCCCAGACACGGUUUGCGGGCCUCAUUUCGUCCUUCCCAAGGUUCCAGGAUUUUCCAAUGCCUAUUAAAUCUUCUGUAACAAUCCAUUCAAAUACACAAGUUUGGCUAUUCAAAUUACUUUUUCCAAAAGUACUUUAAAAUGCAUUAAGUUAUUAAUUGCCUGCUGGCACUUUAAUCAAAUGGGAAAAUUGACAUAGCCAGAGGCAUGUAUUUUUGUGGAAAGAAAAUUUAUUUAAGAAGAAACAGCAGCUCUUACUGCUUAAUUUAAACUGAGAAAACUGUGGAAAAUCAACUGCUAUGGAAAAUUAAUAAAACAUUUCCAGCUGCAAACAGUGACUAAUUGUACAAGAUGAAGACUGCCCAGAAUUAAUAACUUGCAGUCUUCUGUGUGAAGAACCCCCCACCACUUCAAUUUACUGGGAGAUUAAAUUACUUCUAAGUUUGCCAUAUUAAAACAGAACAUGAAUAAAAUGUUAGUGAA
Molecule: long non-coding RNA, 911 nt
Organism: Pan troglodytes (chimpanzee)
Lineage: Eukaryota; Metazoa; Chordata; Mammalia; Primates; Hominidae
Exons: 2
Source: RefSeq, a predicted model, not a curated record